RNAcentral lists this ribosomal RNA (280 nucleotides) under uncultured Prevotella sp. RNAcentral's name for it is "partial 16S ribosomal RNA". It matches the Rfam family "Bacterial small subunit ribosomal RNA", at positions 79 to 354 of the family's 1533-position model. The record is from RNAcentral. Lineage: Bacteria; Pseudomonadati; Bacteroidota; Bacteroidia; Bacteroidales; Prevotellaceae.
CUAUUUAUGUCGGCGACCGGCGCACGGGUGAGUAACGCGUAUCCAACCUACCCAUAACUAAAGGGAUAAACCCAAGCGAAAGUUGGACUAAUACCUUAUGUAUUCGUUUGACCUCAUGAGAUUACGAAUAAAGAUUUAUCGGUUAUGGAUGGGGAUGCGUCUGAUUAGCUUGUUGGCGGGGUAACGGCCCACCAAGGCAACGAUCAGUAGGGGUUCUGAGAGGAAGGUCCCCCACAUUGGAACUGAGACACGGUCCAAACUCCUACGGGAGGCAGCAGGG